RNAcentral lists this unclassified non-coding RNA (386 nucleotides) under Hevea brasiliensis (rubber tree). The record is from RNAcentral. Lineage: Eukaryota; Viridiplantae; Streptophyta; Magnoliopsida; Malpighiales; Euphorbiaceae.
GGAUACAGAUGAAUAUUUUCAACCCAAAUCUCAUAUAGGGAUCAUCAAUGUGACUCUAAAACAGAAAAUCUGAAGGCUGGCCUGUUGAUUCAAAGCUUUUCCACAUUGCUUUUUAUUACACCAUUACCCUUGCCAUGUUUCCUAGCGAACUUGCAAUAUGAACCGUGUGCAUUUGGGGGUCUGUUGUCUGUUCACUAAAGACAUUGCUCUGGAAUGGAGAUCUAAUCGAACUAUUUUAAAUUAGCAUGUGUAAUGAGUGAUAUCAAUUUUGACAAUUGUUCUUUAGGCUGGAUCACGCACUAAAAUAACAUUGUAUAACAGAUUGAUGCAAUCUUGUAGUUGGAAAUAUUGAGGGGGAAAAAGUGAUUUUGCUGAUGAUCUAUGCU